CAGUCGUACCGGCGGUAAUCAACCAUCUGGGUGCGAUCAUGUUGGGUGCUGAGGAGCCUAACCGCCUUCUCGCUCGCGUGUUUGUGCUCGUUGGUGUACUUAUUCGCAUGGUAGGUUAACAUCAAUUUCGGUCGUCAUAAAUGACGGGAGGAAUGUAGCUUUGAUCUCGUAUUAAGUGUUAUAGCCUCUGGUAGAUGUGAUGUCGGGGAUUGAGGAUGCACCGACCCUCUGGCCCACUCGUCUGGCCUCUGGGGGGUUGCUCUGGUUCCCAAAAGCUUGCUUAACGGUUGCCUGAAUUUGGUUUGCCCAAAAGGUUAAAAAGGGGAUGAU
This 330-nucleotide ribosomal RNA is filed under the name uncultured Glomus. RNAcentral describes it as "eukaryotic LSU rRNA". The record is from RNAcentral. Lineage: Eukaryota; Fungi; Glomeromycota; Glomeromycetes; Glomerales; Glomeraceae.